RNAcentral lists this ribosomal RNA (429 nucleotides) under Fusobacteriota bacterium. RNAcentral describes it as "Fusobacteria bacterium partial 16S ribosomal RNA". It matches the Rfam family "Bacterial small subunit ribosomal RNA", at positions 355 to 776 of the family's 1533-position model. Lineage: Bacteria; Fusobacteriati; Fusobacteriota. The record is from RNAcentral.
UGGGGAAUUUUGGACAAUGGGCGCAAGCCUGAUCCAGCCAUGCCGCGUGCGGGAAGAAGGCCUUCGGGUUGUAAACCGCUUUUGUCAGGGAAGAAACGCUCUGGGCUAAUACCCCGGGGUAAUGACGGUACCUGAAGAAUAAGCACCGGCUAACUACGUGCCAGCAGCCGCGGUAAUACGUAGGGUGCAAGCGUUAAUCGGAAUUACUGGGCGUAAAGCGUGCGCAGGCGGUCUUGCAAGACAGAUGUGAAAUCCCCGGGCUUAACCUGGGAACUGGAUUUGUGACUGCAAGGCUGGAGUGCGGCAGAGGGGGAUGGAAUUCCGCGUGUAGCAGUGAAAUGCGUAGAUAUGCGGAGGAACACCGAUGGCGAAGGCAAUCCCCUGGGCCUGCACUGACGCUCAUGCACGAAAGCGUGGGGAGCAAACAGG